GGGAUAAGAGAGGUCUUGGGGAGCCAGGCCCAGGGUUGGGGUCUCAGAAGGCAGUGCUGUUGGGGCAUCUGCACCAUGGCCUGGGCUCUGGUCCUCCUCAGUCUCCUCACUCAGGACACAGGGUCCUGGGCCCAGUCUGCCCUGAAUCAGCCUCCCUCAGUGUCCGGGGAUCUGGGACGCACAGUCACCAUCUCCUGUGCUGGCAGCAGCAAUGACAUUGGGAGACAUAAUUACGUCUCCUGGUACCAACAGCUCGAAGGCAUAUCCCCCAAACUCCUGAUUUAUAAUGUAAAUUCCCGGCCUUCAGGGAUCCCUGAUCGCUUCUCUGGCUCCAAGUCUGGCAACACGGCCUCCUUGACCAUCUCUGGGCUCCAGGCUGAAGAUGAGGCUGAUUAUUACUGUUGCUCACAUGCUAGUAGUAAUACUCCUAUUUUUGGCAUAGGGACCCAUCUGACCGUCCUCGGUCAGCCUAAGUCGGCCCCCUCAGUCACGCUCUUCCCGCCCUCCAAUGAGGAGCUCAUCGCCAACAAGGCCACCCUGGUGUGCCUCAUCAGUGACUUCUACCCCAGCGGUAUGACGGUAGCCUGGAAGGCAGAUGGCACCCCUGUCACCCAGGGCGUGGAAACCACCAAGCCCUCCAAACAGAGCAACAACAAGUACGCGGCCAGCAGCUACCUGAGCCUGUCACCGAACCAGUGGAAAUCUCGCGGCAGAUUCACCUGCCAGGUCACGCACGAGGGGAGCACUGUGGAGAAGAGUGUGGUCCCCGCAGAGUGUUCUUAGGUCCCCGAGACUGUCAGGGAUGGAGGCCUUCCUCACCCAGAUACACCUUCCCCAGCUCACCAUGUACCCCUGAGAGCCAACUCCUGUAUCAGCUCAGACCAGGAAGGUCACACACCCUCCCGGUUUCUAUUUGUGCUCAAUAAAGAACUUAUUGUUUAUCAUUCAA
Prionailurus viverrinus (fishing cat) is the source of this 949-nucleotide non-coding RNA. NCBI's taxonomy places the organism in Eukaryota, Metazoa, Chordata, Mammalia, Carnivora, Felidae. The record is from the annotation of a RefSeq genome assembly.